AAGAAUGUUCAAUCUGAAGACAGUGAUAGCAAACCUGUGCUUGAGGAGGUUUUUACUCAACAAGAUAAAGCAGAUGUCAACAGCUACAUUGUUACUCCAUCUGAAGUAAUAGACAAAUCAUAUGAGGAAGCUGGGAAAGAUGUUGAACCUGUGGCAGAAACGGAAAAGGCAGAACACAUAAAAGAUGAGACAUCAGGUACAAUUGAAACCAAGAAAGAAGAUAAUGUAGAAGAGAAGCAGGAUGAAGUCACUACAUUGGUUACAGAACCACUUGGAGAAUCCAAGCCAUCUGAGCCAGAAGUGAAAGGUGAUGAACCUGUUACAUUGGAGAAAACCACAGAGGAUGUUGCAAAAUCUGAUCGAAAUGUAGAGCUUCCAGCAAAGGAUGGUGAUGACACAAAGAGCUCCGAAGACCUGCCCAAAGAAGUUCCAGCUAAGACCUCUCAGAAACAAUCAACUACCAUUUUAUCAAAGGUCAAGCAUACACUUGUGAAGGCAAAGAGAGUUAUUACCGGGAAAUCUCCAAGCUCGAAAACCCCUGCCUCUGAAACCAAGGAUGAUAUUAAAGUCAAAUAGCAGGAUGCAAUCAUAUAUUAGUCAUCCUUUCUUUUGGUUUCCCUUAUUCUUGUGAUUCUUUUACUGUUUUUGUUUGUUGGUUUUG
RNAcentral lists this long non-coding RNA (661 nucleotides) under Fragaria vesca (wild strawberry). Its description in RNAcentral is "long non-coding RNA (FVES_LNC002786)". Lineage: Eukaryota; Viridiplantae; Streptophyta; Magnoliopsida; Rosales; Rosaceae. The record is from RNAcentral.